Molecule: ribosomal RNA, 492 nt
Filed under: uncultured bacterium
Lineage: Bacteria
Description: partial 16S ribosomal RNA
Rfam family: Bacterial small subunit ribosomal RNA
Source: RNAcentral
AGUGAACGCUGGCGGUAGGCCUAACACAUGCAAGUCGAACGGCAGCACAGUAAGUGCUUGCUCUUACGGGUGGCGAGUGGCGGACGGGCGAGGAAUACAUCGGAAUCUACUUUUUCGUGGGUGAUAACGUAGGGAAACUUACUCUAAUACCGCAUACGACCUACGGGUGAAAGCAUGGGAUCUUCUGACCUUGCGCGAUUGAAUGAGCCGAUGUGGGAUUAGCUAGUUGGCUGGGUAAAGGCCCACCAAGGCGACGAUCCGUAGCUGGUCUGAGAGGAUGAUCAGCAACACUGGAACUGAGACACGGACCAGAGUACUACGGGAGGCAGCAGUGGGGAAUAUUGGACAAUGGGCGAAAGCAUGAUACAGCAAUACCGCGUGGGUGAAGAAGGCCUUCGGGUUGUAAAGCCCUUUUGUUGGGAAAGAAAAGCAGCAGGUUAAUACCCCGCUGUUAUGACGGUAACAAAAGAAUAAGCACCGGCUAACUUCGUG